GAUGAAUUUGUGGAGAGAGUAACUGAUAGCAAACUUGUUGAAGAUUCUCAUAUGGAGUCAUGUCUACCUUUGGCAGGUAAAUUAUUCAACCAAUUAGAUAAAUUUUCGUUUCUAAUAUUCUUCGUUGUUAACAAUAUUAACUCAAUCAUUUAGGCACACUAUACCGGGAGAAACAGGACCUUGUGGCAUAAACAUCAAAGAAGACUAAAAUAACUCAAGCUAAGGACAAACAUGUAGCUAAGGGUACAAAACUGAAAAACUAGAGAAAAACUAUUGUCAUUAUAUAGACACUUAAUCUUUGAAGUGUGUUCUUGUAUGAUUGAUGGGAGUUUCUGUGCAACAUUAUCAGCAAAGAAGGCGAAGAAAAUGAAGUCUAAUAUCUUAAAAGACAAGAUACAAAGCUAGCAUAUCUGAUUCAUCCCACCAACUUACUGAAGUGGUUGUCGAGCAUAAUAAAGGUUAGUAUUCUACAUGAGGCAACGGUGUUAAUAGUUCUAAAUCAAAUCAUCAAUGAUAUAGGAUAUUAUGCAAAUACAUUAUGUUUGUCAUUAACUAAUUUUAUUAAUAUUAUCAUCAACUUUUAGGCAAAGGAGUCCCACAAACACCAACACUCAAGUCAAGGAGUGGCAGAACAAUCAAGCGAAGAAUAUUGGACUAAUGAAGUGAAAGAUUUUAUGAGACUUUGAAGCAACUUCUGUAUGUACUUUGACUUUUGCCUCUAUUACACCGCGUCGGUCACAUUCUACUAUAUUUUGAGGUUACCUUUUGCAUGUACAUUGUAUAUGCCUCGAUGUAGUUUUUAGCUUAAUGCGAUAUGUAUAUAUAACGCGUAAUGUCUAAAAGGAUAGUUAAAUAGGUUAUAUAUAAAUUGUAUUGUGUAGAUUGUUGCUCCUAGCUGUACAAAUUAAAUACUCUUUGCUGUAUUACAACUGUGACCUACAAGUCAUAGUAUAAUAUGUCUA
RNAcentral lists this long non-coding RNA (962 nucleotides) under Salvia miltiorrhiza (redroot sage). RNAcentral's name for it is "long non-coding RNA (SMIL_LNC007552)". The record is from RNAcentral. Lineage: Eukaryota; Viridiplantae; Streptophyta; Magnoliopsida; Lamiales; Lamiaceae.